This 426-nucleotide ribosomal RNA is filed under the name uncultured bacterium. RNAcentral describes it as "partial 16S ribosomal RNA". It matches the Rfam family "Bacterial small subunit ribosomal RNA", at positions 354 to 796 of the family's 1533-position model. The record is from RNAcentral.
GUGAGGAAUUUUCCGCAAUGGGCGAAAGCCUGACGGAGCAAUGCCGCGUGAAGGAUGAAGGCCUAUGGGUUGUAAACUUCUUUUCUCAGAAAAGAAUUAUGACGGUAUCUGAGGAAUAAGCAUCGGCUAACUCUGUGCCAGCAGCCGCGGUAAGACAGAGGAUGCAAGCGUUAUCCGGAAUGAUUGGGCGUAAAGCGUCUGUAGGUUGUUUAAAAAGUAUUCUGUCAAAGAUUAGGGCUUAACCCUAGAUAGGCAGAAUAAACUUUUAAGCUAGAGUUAGGUAGAAGGAGAGGGAAUUCCCGGUGGAGCGGUGAAAUGCGUAGAUAUCGGGAGGAACACCAAAGGCGAAGGCACUCUGCUGGGCAAAUACUAACACUGAGAGACGAAGGCGAGGGGAGCAAAUGGGAUUAGAAACCCUGGUAGUCC